UCACUACUGUUCUAGUUUCUGGGGAUC
This 27-nucleotide non-coding RNA is filed under the name Mus musculus (house mouse). The record is from RNAcentral. Lineage: Eukaryota; Metazoa; Chordata; Mammalia; Rodentia; Muridae.